RNAcentral lists this ribosomal RNA (484 nucleotides) under uncultured bacterium. RNAcentral's name for it is "partial 16S ribosomal RNA". It matches the Rfam family "Bacterial small subunit ribosomal RNA", at positions 28 to 523 of the family's 1533-position model. The record is from RNAcentral.
GACGAACGCUGGCGGCGUGCUUAACACAUGCAAGUCGAACGAUGAACCCGGAGCUUGCUCCGGUGGAUUAGUGGCGAACGGGUGAGUAGCACGUGAGUAACCUGCCCUUGACUCUGGGAUAACUGCGGGAAACUGUAGCUAAUACCGGAUACGACCCUCGGCGGCAUCGCCAGGGGGUGGAAAGAAUUUCGGUCAAGGAUGGACUCGCGGCCUAUCAGCUAGUUGGUGAGGUAACGGCUCACCAAGGCGACGACGGGUAGCCGGCCUGAGAGGGUGACCGGCCACACUGGGACUGAGACACGGCCCAGACUCCUACGGGAGGCAGCAGUGGGGAAUAUUGCACAAUGGGCGCAAGCCUGAUGCAACAACGCCGCGUGAGGGAUGACGGCCUUCGGGUUGUAAACCUCUUUUAGUAGGGAAGAAGCGAGAGUGACGGUACCUGCAGAAAAAGCACCGGCUAACUACGUGCCAGCCGCCGCAGUAA